CUUUUGUGGGGUGCUCGAGUGGCGAACGGGUGAGUAACACGUGAGUAACCUGCCCUUGACUUUGGGAUAACUUCAGGAAACUGGGGCUAAUACCGGAUAGGAGCUCCCGCUGCAUGGUGGGGGUUGGAAAGUUUCGGCGGUUGGGGAUGGACUCGCGGCUUAUCAGCUUGUUGGUGGGGUAGUGGCUUACCAAGGCCUUGACGGGUAGCCGGCCUGAGAGGGUGACCGGCCACAUUGGGACUGAGAUACGGCCCAG
RNAcentral lists this ribosomal RNA (256 nucleotides) under uncultured Actinomycetales bacterium. RNAcentral describes it as "partial 16S ribosomal RNA". It matches the Rfam family "Bacterial small subunit ribosomal RNA", at positions 77 to 334 of the family's 1533-position model. Lineage: Bacteria; Bacillati; Actinomycetota; Actinomycetes; Actinomycetales. The record is from RNAcentral.